Molecule: small RNA, 780 nt
Filed under: Histoplasma capsulatum
Lineage: Eukaryota; Fungi; Ascomycota; Eurotiomycetes; Onygenales; Ajellomycetaceae
Also listed under: 1 other name
Description: hypothetical RNA
Source: RNAcentral
UUUGACAACCAAUACUAAUCUUCGCCCCUUCCCAUACAAUCACCCAAUCCUCCGUCUGAUGCGGCAUGACCCCGCGAACCUCCAUUUCAUUCCUCGCUGCCUCAAACCAAAUCUCCCGUAGGCGGGGCGGCCUCCUACUUUCUUCCCCGCUCCCAUAUACCUUAGAGGCCCGCUCAUCGUUCCUAAUCGCAUCUAAAUCGGCUUGCAUAUUCCGCAUGAACUCCCUCCGUAUGCUGCGCUGGUUAUUACCCCCUCCCUUCUCAGCGGCGAAAAAUUCGGCAAUCCGGCCUAGCCCGGAUGUGGUGAGCAGCAUGCUAAUCCACAGAUCGCAAGAUGUGGGGAAUGGCUGCUCGGAGGAGAGUGUGAGUUGCAGAUAGGAGACGAGAAGGUGGAUGCAAUGCCUGAAGUUUGCGGAACAUUAUGGUGCGGUCGGCGGGUUGAAUGGUGACAGGAAGUCGGCCAGCCUUGUAUACGGCGUAGAGGUUGGACUGAAGUUCAGACCGGGCCUGCGCGUAUGUCUCUAAGAAGAACAGAGUAUAAAACCUAGGAUAGUGGAUAUUAGCCGGCUACGUCAAUUUAAAAAAAAAUAGUAAAUAGGCUGGGUAAUGAUGGCGCCGCCGCUGGGCAAUUAUGGAGAUGUUUGUAUAUACUCACAUGAGGGGUGUAAGCUUGAAUUGCAACUGCGCUAUUCCGCCUUCACGAUAGGCUUGAAAGUCCUUUUUAGAUGUAAAUAUAGCUCUAUGAGCAGGAUCACUUUGCAAGUACCUCUCUAACACACUG